UGGGUAACCUGCCUCAAAGAGGGGAAUAGCCUCCCGAAAGGGAGAUUAAUACCGCAUAAUAUGUUUAAGUCGCAUGACUUUAACAUCAAAGGAUUUUCUUUUAGAACUUCCACUUUGAGAUGGACCCCGCGGCGCAUUAGCUAGUUGGUGAGGUAACGGCUCACCAAGGCAACGAUGCGUAGCCGACCUGAGAGGGUGAUCGGCCACAUUGGAACUGAGACACGGUCCAGACUCCGUAGGGAGG
This 244-nucleotide ribosomal RNA is filed under the name uncultured bacterium. RNAcentral's name for it is "partial 16S ribosomal RNA". It matches the Rfam family "Bacterial small subunit ribosomal RNA", at positions 118 to 348 of the family's 1533-position model. The record is from RNAcentral.